AGUUUAAUGUUAAAUUAUAGAGCUGCAGAAAUAAUCACUGGCCUCUAAGAAAAUGUUCUUUUCAUCCUCACAUCAGCUCUAUGUUCAUGAGAAUUGACUUAAAAGUUCUGUUAAAUGUAAAACAUAAUGGAUGCAAUAAAGAGCGGUCUAUAAAUAUGAGGUAAAGGUUAGCGACAUGUAGCAGAAAUGGUCAACGUAAAGAAUUAUGAUGCUUAGCCUGGCACUUAGACAAACUACAAAAAAGAGACGCAUUGAAACCAAAAAACGCAUUUGGACAUUUGUAUCUUAAGUACAAAUCUUUAAUUUAAUAAAAAUGAAAAAUAUAUAUAUAAUUAACCUGAGUAAUUACUUCAUUUAUAUAGUAUAACAACAAAAGUAUAGAUGGAAAGACAGAUGAAGAAUUGAAAACUAAUGGUGAGCUUUUUUUAUCUGUUUUUAUUUUUUUUUAUUUUGGUCUGAAGGUCAGAGACAGCAGCAGAUGCUGAAGGUAACGAACCAUGUGGACCCUGAAAUUCUCCAAAAUUAGCUAAAUCAAGCAAGGCAGAGCAGGUCUGAGCCGCAUCGAGGUCCACAAAAAAAUGUCACCUCUUCAGAGAGUGAUAAAUGCCUCUGAGCGACAGAUUCAAGGUCAACAUUUAUCUUUCGGAGGGAGCGGGAGACAACGUUUUUGUGUGCUCUUCGCAUGGCCUUUUUGAUAACAAACUGUGUAACGUUAAUACCACAGAGUUUUCUCCACGUUGUCUGCAUUUUCUCUGGGAAAAGGAGCAAAGAAAAAAAGUUUCUCUUUCCACACAAAUCUCGACUUCCUCCAAGGAGUUUCUCCUCGGUGUUGGGUCUGCGUUGGCGCAGCGCUGAUGUAUAGACUAAUAAUCCCGGGUUUCGAUCUGAUGCCUGAGUGAACAGUGAAUGUCGAUAAUGUUUAUUGUCUUAAUGCUUAGUAAUAUUGUGCUUUCUGUGCUGUUUUGUGUUCAGCGCUUUAUUUUAUUCUUUCUGUGGACAGUAGAGACCUCACACUGGCCCCUCCAGGCACACAGUCAAUAAUAAAGUCAGUCAAGUGUUUUUUAUAAGAUAGUAACUUUAACUUUUUACUGUGUUGCUCUGCUCUACAGUGUGUUUGUGUGUCGUUGUUUGUUUUCUACCUAUGUCCACAGUGAUACUUGUGAGAGUUAUUUGCACAAUUACGCAAUAUUUUUAAAUGAGGACAUUUUCCAUCAUUCACAUAUCAAGACAAACUGUUUCUGCUUUGUCUUUGGUUUGAUAAGUGAAAAGAAAAGCAGGAAACUGAUGACCUUCUGAGGUAGUUAUAUUAGAUGUGUUGCGCUAAAGGACGCUUCAAACAAACAAUGGUAGUUAAAAUAGGGCCAUCCAGCAUUUGCUGGGAGUGGGAAGAGAAUCAACUUGCAGACUCACAUUAUUUUUGCGAAUGGUUUUUGCAUCAGUGAUGGGCGUUCUCUAGAAUCUGACACAAUAGAAGCAAAAUACAUGUAUUCAAACUCAAUAUCAAACGAGUUAUUCUCUUCCAGUGUUUGUUCUUUUGUUGAUAAAGAAGAGACACUCUUGUGAAACAGUUAUUUGAUGCACGCAUCGCUAAUGGUUUGUCACCCAAUCGUUGCCCUUCGAGCAUUCAGGUACCCAGAAUCCCACACCUAUUUAGGGGGAGAAUUGGGACUCAAUUAUUCCUGUGAGAAACACUUGAGUAGUCAUGUCUAUGACAAAUAAUUUGCUUCAUUUACUACAUUUCCAUGUGUGUCUUCCCAAUUACAAAUAUUGAUUGAGGUGAAAUGGAUCAUUUUAAAAAGGCUCUGCAUCUGCAUAAUUGUGAAUUCAUAGUUUUUGAUGGAAGUUUUCUCAUGGGCCUGAAAAACAAGACAAAAUAAAAGUCAGACGCCCAGACUCGUCCAGAUCCAUUUUUAUUUUUAAAUAAAAAAAUCAGUUAUAAGAUUUCUUUUUCUUGGCAUGUGCCACAUUUUCCUCUUACAUGUCUCUGUUUGCAAGAUGUUUUGCCAGAUUGGAUGUAUUGGCUCUGUCUGCAUGAUCAGCUUUGGAGCAUAUUUUCUUUCACCGGAGCUUUGCUGUGUCCGUCAGCUUGUCCUGACCGUGAGCUUACUAAGCAAAAUAAUGCCAUUUUUCACUUUGUGCGUCUGCUUUGUCAACAAUCUGUGGACCUUUUGGCAGCAGCACUUGUAUCUGCUGUCCCGCCGGUUGUUUUGUUGCUUCAGAGCUGAAUAGGAGCACAACACGACUCAGUAUACAGUCCCGCUAUUGUAUUAGUGUGUACUGCGUUUACUGCGAUGUUUUACAUUAGGUUUGGAUUUAUAAGCUAUGGUUGAUUUGUUGUGUUCACUAGUCAUCAAGUGACGCAAUUACCAUUUUGCACAAAUGCACGGGAACAUUUUGUCAUCCAGUUACAAGUAAGAUACCCUUUGUUUACUAUUAAAUAAACUGUUUAAGCAUGUAUGGCAAUCAUCAUUCAACAUACACAUAAAAAUAAUAAUUAAAUAAAAAAAUUAAAAUUAUUAUAAAUUAUAAAAAAUAAUUUGCAUCAAAUUGCUUUAUAUUUGUAUGUCACUCCUAAUUUGAUCCUUAGAAUUUUUUUUUAACAAUUACUGAUUUAUUAUUUAUUAUUAUUAUUUAUUAUUUAUGAUUAAUUUAUGCAAUUGCAGUGCCUUGAUUUUAUGGCAGUUUAGUACACAGUCCUAAACCUGUGACGAGGUAAUUAAUAGUUGUCGGCCUUUGUUUCCUCAUUUUUGGUUUUGGCCAAGAAUUUUAAUUUUGGUGCAACCCUAAUCAAAACAUGGUAUAAAUAUUACUGCUAGUUGUAGUAGUAGUGUUGAAAAUAAAACAUGGUAUAAAUGGUACUGCUCCAAACAGAGCAGGUUAAUGAUAGUAAUCAACAGCUGAAUAGUUCCUUGCAGCCGCACUAUAAUUUCUUUUCAACCAGUGUAAAAAGUGAUAUAAACUACAGUAGCAGUAAAGGAGGCGCUCACAAUGACGCAGCAAUAUGUAAAUAACUGCUCUCAUUAGAGCCACCGCUGCUAAAGCACUGCUGCUAAAGCACUGCUGCUAAUGAAAAAUGAUGUAUAAUUGUGCACAUCGUAGCAAUUUUCCGUGAGGCGACUGAGUUCUGACAGAUACAGUAUAUUUAAACCCCAGAAAAGGUGUUUUCAUCGCUGCUGUCCAAAGCCUUUGUUUGCUGAGAUAAAUCAGCUUCCCGCUGGCCUCGCUCUGAUGCGGCGAAUGAAAAGCGGUUCUGUACAAAGGGUCAGAAAGGGAAGUUUCCUAAUGGCCUUGGUCGUCAAAAGGAAGUUAGAAAUGUGAGCCGCUGUGCUGGAGACACGUGCUCACCGGAGCUCUGCGGCUCCUCUGUAGCAUGCAGGGGGGGGGGAAUGAGGGAGGGGGAGGAGGGAAGGAGGAGAACCUUGGCCAUUCAGUCUGUUUUGCAAAGCAACACAAACUCCUUUGCCAACUUUCCGCGCUGAUUCAUUCAGCAUUGGAUCUGUUGAUAAUGGAGCAAAGUGAGGUGUAAGGGCAGGGGGUCAAGGUGCAAAACCCACCUGACCAACUUUAAACAAGCUGUGGUUUUGUUGCCCAUAGCAACAAGGCUUUGAUUCCACCGUUUCUGUCAGGGAAACAAACAACAGCGUUGGUUUUCAGUGGGAUCUGGUGAAAAUAUUUAGAGGAAAAAAAACUUGUUAGAACCAUGUUGAAUGAGUUUUAAUCCAAGGUCGAGCAGGUGGAACUGUUUUUAUUAAGGGAUAAAGGUCAACCUGGUCAGAUAAUGAGGGAAUUCAGCUAAACAAAGGAAGAGACCAUGUCCUAAUCCAAUGGCAAUAGCAAUUUUAUAUAAUUUUAUUAAUCAGCAUGACUUAUUUUUUUCCUUUUUUUUCUUGAUUGAAAAACUUUCCCUAUGUUCCCAGUGUAAACUGGUACUACACUCAUUCAUUCAUUACUUUUUCUAUACAGCUCAUCUCUAGACUGAAGACACUGUGUAUAACUGGACUGUAAGUUAACGUGAGUGCCACCCAGGAAUAAGGCAUCACGAACAGUGUAUCUCCCAAAGCUUAUUAAUUUGCAAACUAAUGCGUAUUUUAGUGACGAUGACAGAUAUUGAACAGAUGGCAGUAGCCCACGUGUGGAAAACUAGUAAACAGAUACUUGAAUGAACAUUGCAGAUUUUCUGCUAAAAAUGUGUUAAUAUUCAUAAAAAAUCAAUAUAAAAAACUCAUCUACGCAGAUUUAGGUAGGGAAAAAUGUAGAAUUUAAAAUGUUUGACUUUUUAUUUCAGUUUUGUUUUUUGUUUUUUUCAUAAGGGCAACAUAUCUUCGAAAGGCAACCUUUGGGUGACCCCAAAAACUCCCCUUUUUCCUAUUAAAUUUCUGACCAAAGUUGUCCAAAUGCUCUAAAAUGAGGCUUCUUGAGAAAAAAACAGUACCUUUAAGCACAGAAGCUUAAUGGCAGACACGUUCUGGCAGAAGAAAAGACACACGUCAUGUCCAUUGACCUGCUAAUGGAUUUCUGCGACUCGGGAACAUGCUAUUUGCAAGCUACUGAAGAAAUUGCAGAUGACACCUUAAUGUAAAAUAAAUACUGAAAUUAAAUAAAUAAGAAGGGCUGUGAUUAUUCUGGCAGCAUGACAUGGUCCAGAACAUCGAGUACCUGCCGCUGUGUUCAUGCACAAAGGCUGAAAGUGAAUAAGAGCUGAAUAAGAUGCGAGUUUCAAUAUUUUUUACACUAUUUUUAAAUAUUCACUGAAUUAUUUGGGUUCGAAUGGGAACAUUUGAUUACAGCCUAGCCAGUAAUGAAUUAAAAAAAAAAAACUUUAAAAGACAAUAAAAAUGAUCUUAGCAGUAUGUUUGCUAAUAACUGUGAAGAUUUAGCUUUGCUUUUAAAUAACUAUAAAAAGAAUAUAAGGAAACAAAUAAUUUUGUUAAUUAGAGUUUUUAUGGUUUAUUUAUAUACAUUCAUGCGAUCUGUAGGAAAACAUCCGCCAGUUGAAAGGUACAAGAAAUUAUUUAAAAAAAUGUAUAAUUUAUAUAAUUUAUUUUGACCCCAAUUAGCUUUUAGCAUGGGUGUAGCAUGUUAGCUUAAAGCUACUGGCUUGAAAACCAGUUAAGCAAAUAAUUUUUUCAAAUAUUAUUUUAAUAUACUUAAUAUUAUAUUAAAAAUACUUACCGAGUUUUUUGAAGCUGCUGUUACUGACACUACUAUACUGUGCAUGGAUUGUACAGGUUGUUUUGAAGGCAGUGACAAAAAAAAAUACUGUGUCAAAUGCGGUGCCACCGAUGUGGCAUUUGCUUCACAGCGGGGUGCAGGAUGAAAGAGUCUCAUUGAUUCUAAUCAGCCUUCUCGGAAAAAUUUGACAGAAAUCCAGCUGUUACUUGACUGUUUCAUGUUUGCAAUUUCAAAUUCCAGCAACGCAAUGGAAGGCACAUCAAUAUUUAGUGACAAUCUGGGCAGUGCCACAGACGUCUGUGACAGAGAAACCAAAACACAACUCAAAGCCACGCUCAGAAAUGGCUGUAAAUAUUGAAAACAGCCAAAGCAGCUGUGGAGGUGUUUGAAAGGUGAGGUUAAGAGUGCAGAAGAAUAAAUUACUGCUUUUACUUUUGACUUCCAAAGGCCCGCCAUGUGUCCAAAUAAAUGGUCCAAUUUUAGUUUUUAGCAACACAUUUCUGUGAAAUCCAGGCUCUUUGUGUAUCAGUUCCAGUGAAAAUGUCCUCUGAACUUUUGGACUGCCAAAAAAAAAAAAACCUUCUAGGGGACGUAUCCCUGGAGGAUAGCAGUUCCUUAAAUGAUCCAGCUGCUACUGUUGUAGCUGCUUAAUUUAGGUUUCUGUUGAAUGUUUUUUGGAGAGCUUGGUCAUGUGACGGACAAUAUCUUUUUUUGUGUAUUUGAGGGUUGGAAAAAAAUAUAUAAUCUGUUGUUACUGGUUGCAGGUUUGGAUCUUUUUUGGGGAUUAUUCCUCACAAAUCAGAACUUUUUUUUUUUUUUCUGACCGUCAAUUGUCAUAAAUGUCACCGUGUGCAGAACGAUAAACCAAUCUAACUUCCAUCAGCAUAUAUUCUUUCCACAAUUCUCUCAUUAAGGCAACACUAAUACUCACAGAUAAUCACAUCAUAAGCCUUGUGCUUCCUGAGACCGACUCUCAGUAACCAGAAUCAACUGUGCAGGCAUCAUAAUGAACCAUAGUUACGUUUCAUUGCUGUGCAACCUCCAGGAGCAAUUCUCAUUAUGAAAAUCAGGUAAUGAGGUUUGUAUCGGCUGGCAGGUGGAGAUGGGGCGACCGACUGAAGGCAUUGCUUUCACACAGGAGACUGCUAUCUGUUUCCCAGGAUACUGCAUGUUCAUUAUUGUCGGCGUAACGAUGAAAGUUACAGAAGCAGACACAAUUAGGAGAAUGUCAGAUUGUAAAUUGGGGGUCAGACCAAAGCCACAUUUAAAAAGUGUGUCGCUGAUAGAUUUGUGUCUAACUAGGCCUGUACCUACACUGACUGGGCCUAGGGCGCCCCCUUGCACACGUUAAGCGUGAUUUGGAGCAUUAGCUCGAAUGUUGAUAUUUCCCCUGAUAUGGGAAAUUUGAAUGAUUGAUGAUUUAUUUUCAUAGUAAAAAAUUGUAAGCACACAUGUAAGACCUACAGUGACAAUUUUGACACUGAUUAAAAAUAUAUAAUGAAUAUAAUAAAUGAAAUAAAUGAAUGCCUGCUAAAGAGGCUAAAGUUUAAACAAACAACUUUUAAAGUGUGGAUUUGAGGCUGAAUGUAGGAUUAAGUCGUUAAUUAGCAUCUUAGGAGAAGUGAGGCAGCUCCGUCGUCCUGUGUGGGAGCAAAACACAAUAGGGGAAAACUGAAGAGCACUCGGUGAGAAACGAGGAGGAGGUGUGGUGGUCGUGAAAGGUCUGGGAGGUCGGUGUUCCUGCAUUGUUUCUUGGUAUGCUCCAGUUCCCGCCGUCAUCCCGGCUCUUUGUUAAGGACUGAACACAUGGGAUAUCUGGCUCCAGGGCUCUACUGCCAGUGGCGUGAAAGUCAAGGGUCAGCGCAUUUUCCAAUUCACUGCUUUACAGUACAACUAUUCAGGGGAGAAAAAAACGAAAUUUCUCUCUUUUAGUCAUGCAACAGGCGCUGAGCGGAGUAGGAGACUGUCACGCUCAGACAUUCCUAAUGACCAACAUGAUGGACGAAUUAGAAGUUAACGAUUAAAGAAAGCCUUCUCCUCUGUACUGGAAUUAAACUACACUUCCUUUUGCUCCAGGGUUUUUUCUGUUUUGGCCACUGAGAAUAAUGAGACUACACUCAAUGGAGUAGCACUGUGUUUGACAGUAACUGGCUGAUUCCCCAAAUAUGGCACAGGCAAACAAUCAAACUAAAAGCAAUUAAUCUGCCUGGCAUAUUUGAAAAAUAACCCAAAGUUGCACGCAAUUACUUUUCCCUUGUCUCGCGCUGAGUGCCAAAAAUUUGCCAGGGCUUAGGACUGAAAUGCUGUGUGCAUGUAUAAACAAAUGCAUCAGCUUGUUUAUGAAUGUUCAAAGUGAUCUGAAAGGUUGUAGUUAGUUGUGGCAAUCUGACUUGCAGAUUUGAUCCCCUGCUGUUACCCCCCUGACCGCAAUCACAGCAACAAUAGCCUUUUGCAGAAUCAUUGCUGUCACAGUUUCAGCUAUUUUGUGAGAAGUGCUCCGGCUGCUUUGGGCAGAAGUCAGAGCAGAGCUCUUCAACGAGCAUAAGAUGGUGGUGUUCAGAUCAGGGACAGCGUGAACAUAAAUGGUUAUUUUUAUGUGGUGGCCAUUUCAAAAAUGGGUUUUUAAAAGGCUACACGUCUUCCUGAAAAUAAUGCAUCUGAAAACAAAAUUUAGUUUGGGUUAUAUGGUGUUGUUUCGCUGGCCUUGGCGCUAGAUGCGAUUCAGUUUCUGCCAAAGUGUGUUAAGAGCAUAUCGUGCUUUUGCAGGCAUAAAGGCAUUAAAGCAAAAGCAAAGUAUAUCUUUUCGGAUCGAAAUAGAAAAAGCUAGCUAUAACUCUUUCGUUUUCAGAUUUUAUUUUGGUCAGUCCUGCAAAGAUGACUGUUUGCCUACAUUGUUAACGUCAAAAGGACUAAAUUGUUGUUGUUAAAUUCUGUAUGUAGAAUGGCGACUUAAGGUUGCGGCUAAGCUUUUCAAUAUAUUUUGCUAUCGAAGUCCUGUGUGUUGACCUAAAUAUUUGAACUUCCACUUCUGUUAACCUUUCAGCCGAGUUCUACUGAGGCAGUAUGCUAAAGUCUGUGAUAAUUGGCACUAAUAGGUGACCAAUUCACCAGUGUCUCCAAGGUUGUGAAGAACGUUUCAAAGCAUUUUAAAACCCAAAAUAUGUUCGCCAAUAAGGAGAAUCUGUGUUACAUUUGACAGUUAGGUGUGAAUUUAAAUGGACGUCUAAAAUUGCAGCACUUUUAGAGUUAUUUGAAUAAUGACUCGCACUGGAUAAAAAUUAAAAUGCAUUUAUUAGUCUAGAAUCUUAGCUCGUCAUCAUCCUUCAUUAACUCUCAGAUUUCAAUAGUCAUGUAUUCUGUGGCUAAUUAAAGCCAAAGAGCUGUUUGCAGUAUUGUUAAUAUUAUGCCUCCCCAUGCUUCUCACAUGUAUGUUGCCUCAUGUUAGCAUCUCCCAGUGGCACAGUUUGUUCACAGUUCACAGUUCUUCCCUAAACAUUAACAAAUACUGAUGUUAGCAUCUUUGAAAUGACUUCCCCGAGGCUACGCUGACUGAACAGAUGCUUUAGUGCCGAGUAUUUUUUUUAUUUUUUUGCUUCUUAGUCAUAAUUUUUUUUUUAAGCUUUAUGCAAAAACUACUGUUUUGGGAAACAAAACCUUUCGUCCUCUGAUGUCCAGUACAGUAAAGAAGAUGGCAGCAUAUAGUAGGCCUGGGCUUUAAGCUUUCAAAUAGUUAACAUGGUCAGAAGGGGGAGGGAGGGCUGUGCUCCGUGUGUGUUUGUGUGUUCAAGGUCAUAAUCCAGAGAAAAUACACAGGCUGAACAAACAGGAGCUGGAACAGAUAAGAUUUAAUGGUGAACCUCUAAGUACAGGACAAUUUCUCCUCCAUGAUCUCACCAGAAUCAUCACCUCUGCUGCUUGGUUUGUGUCAGGAGAUUUUGACCUCCCUCUCUUCUGCUGAUAUUGUCGCUGCUUAUUUGUUUUUACUGCGGGGUAAUUUCACAGUCCACCGUAAAUCCCGGGAGAAAGGAUUUAAAGGCGGAUUGAGGCAAAUAUUCAUGGGCAUAACCUUAUUAUAUGGACUUAUUCGGACAGAGACUGGCUGAUGUGAACGUCACAUCAAGUUAGCAUGCCUAGCUUUAUCGCUAACUGGAUAUUUGUAUAUAGCAAAUAUCUAUUUCAUUAACAUAGGUGUUUGUAGUCUGCAAUUGUUUUCUUUUUUGUUGGAUUCUUGCUAUUUUUCUGGUACAUAGUAAUUGCUGCUUCUGGCUGUACUAUAUUAGUUAUUAUAGUUAUAGUUAUUAUAGUUAGAACGUCUUGACUAACCUAAGAGCGUAUUUAAACAUUUUGAGAUCAUUCAUCUAAUAUUUAGUCUUAGAACCAUAUGUCUUUGGGGUUUUUUUUGUGCAAAAUUUAAGAUGAUUUAUGUAACCGUAACUAAAUUAAUCUAUCAUCAAAUAUAUUUGACACAUAACAUAUUUAAAAUCAAUACAUUUUGGAUCAUUUAUUUAAAAGAAACUUCAUUAAAGUAUUGUUAUGCAUCAUAUACAGCUACUAAAGUGCACUUUCUUAUACCAAAUUCUCUAUAAUCCAGGUUGUAACAGCUCUGUGGUAUUUUUACACGCAAUAUAAAAAUUGACCCUUCAUUGAAAAACUGUUGGACACCUCUGUCUCAGUUCAAUAUAUGCAACUAUUUUAGUCCCUGCGAUAUUCCAAACGUCAGUAAUUCCAUAACUGUGUUUUAUUGGCCUGCUGUAGUCGACACCAUUAAAACAGCAGACAGAGCGUUGGCUCUGGACCAGGAAGACAAAAAGAACAUAUUGAGUCUACUAUACUUCACCUAAAUUGACCAGACAUUGUUGGCUGUGUUCUGGCCGCCUCUGUUUUUUCUCAGCAAUUCCUGGACAGGAAGGUUUUUAAUGGAUUGCUCCACUACAACACGAGCCAAGGUUACGGCGGGGGCUAGUCAUGUCUGCUCUCGUCAUCUUUACUCUUCAGUGCUGUAGUUCAUGACCGUGCCGACCCCGACUGCUACCAAGUCCGGGCACUCAGACCAGUCUGGUUCUCUGCCACGAGUCAGCUUCACUUCCACUAAUAACAUUCCGAUUGCCGUCAUGUUUGGUUUGCUUGUCCGAGCACUUUAUUUCCAAAAGGAGUUUCGGCCUCCGCUGACCUUUCCAUUUGUAGAAACGAAGCAAUCGUUCACAAAUCACCCCACCAAGUGUAAAAUAUCCAAACAGUUUGAUAUUGCGGACUUAAUGAAAUGGGCUCACACUUCUUCGCCGCAAUUAUAGGAAAAGGUCAGCAGCAUAACUGAUGCUGAGCCUCGACAUGAUUGUCCUACUUCACAUCUUCCAGUGUUUGGCCCGGUCAACAUCAGUUCAGACUGUGUUGUACUGCAUUUUGACUGUACAUAGCCUUUUUUCCCCCACACGAUCAGAAAUAACUAAUUUGUGGUGCCAGCUCAGUUUGACGUUUACUCUGAAAUGAGUAUUUUAUGCUACAUUUGGUUCUGAUAUAAUACAGUCAUUUAUGAGUUUGAGGGAUAUUAGUGGUCCUUGGACCGUGACUGUGAAAAUUACCCUUACUUGUAAUUAUGAGUUUCUUUGCAAACGUAGCCCAAGAAGUAAGAAAGAAAAAGAAAAAAAAAACUGAUAAAAUUACAUUUCGCUGAAGCCAAAGUCGUUUUCACUAAAUUAUAUACCGUCCAUAGAUGAGAUAACAUUAAUUUUCAGUAAUAAGACCCUAAUCACAUUACACAAAUGAGAAAAGUAUAACAUCCCUUUUACACAUCACGGGAAUAUGCGCAGUGUCUAUUUAAGUUGAAGCUACUCCCUGUCCGGUCUUUAAAAUAGGACACAGAGGACACUGUCUGCCUUCAGGCUUUGUUAAAUGUAAUGCUGUAACAACAGUAUAACCAGCAGAGGUGUGGACUCAGCACAACUGCAGCCACUGCAGGAGUCAGUCUCCACAUGCCACUGACUCUUGGUUUACGAAGAA
Long non-coding RNA from Cynoglossus semilaevis (tongue sole), 11169 nucleotides. RefSeq lists it as uncharacterized. The record is from RefSeq and is a predicted model, not a curated record. NCBI's taxonomy places the organism in Eukaryota, Metazoa, Chordata, Actinopteri, Pleuronectiformes, Cynoglossidae. The transcript is spliced from 2 exons.